GAUGAACGCUGGCGGCGUGCCUAAUACAUGCAAGUCGAGCGAACAGACGAGGAGCUUGCUCCUCUGACGUUAGCGGCGGACGGGUGAGUAACACGUGGAUAACCUACCUAUAAGACUGGGAUAACUUCGGGAAACCGGAGCUAAUACCGGAUAAUAUAUUGAACCGCAUGGUUCAAUAGUGAAAGACGGUUUUGCUGUCACUUAUAGAUGGAUCCGCGCCGCAUUAGCUAGUUGGUAAGGUAACGGCUUACCAAGGCAACGAUGCGUAGCCGACCUGAGAGGGUGAUCGGCCACACUGGAACUGGGACACGGUCCAGACGCCUACGGGAGGCAGCAGUAGGGAAUCUUCCGCAAUGGGCGAAAGCCUGACGGAGCAACGCCGCGUGAGUGAUGAAGGUCUUCGGAUCGUAAAACUCUGUUAUUAGGGAAGAACAAAUGUGUAAGUAACUAUGCACGUCUUGACGGUACCUAAUCAGAAAGCAACGGCUAACUACGUG
RNAcentral lists this ribosomal RNA (497 nucleotides) under uncultured bacterium. RNAcentral's name for it is "partial 16S ribosomal RNA". It matches the Rfam family "Bacterial small subunit ribosomal RNA", at positions 28 to 507 of the family's 1533-position model. The record is from RNAcentral.